RNAcentral lists this ribosomal RNA (417 nucleotides) under uncultured eukaryote. Its description in RNAcentral is "SSU rRNA". It matches the Rfam family "Eukaryotic small subunit ribosomal RNA", at positions 592 to 1013 of the family's 1831-position model. The record is from RNAcentral.
CAAUAGCGUAUAUUAAAGUUGUUGCGGUUAAAAAGCUCGUAGUUGGAUUUCUGUCGAAGACGGCCGGUCCGCUCUAUGAGCGUGUAUCUGGUUCGGCUUUGGCAUCCUCGUGGGGAACGUAACUGUGCUUGAUUGCAUGGUGCGGAAUUCACGACUUUUACUUUGAGGAAAUUAGAGUGUUCACGGCAGGCAAGCGCCUUGAAUACAUUAGCAUGGAAUAAUAAUAUAGGACUUUGGUUCUAUUUUGUUGGUUUCUAGAACUAAAGUAAUGAUUAAUAGGGAUAAUUGGGGGCAUUUGUAUUAACGCGUCAGAGGUGGAAUUCUUGGAUUGCGUUACGACAAACUACUGCGAAAGCUAUUCGCAAGGAUGUUUUCAUUGAUCAAGAACGAAAGUAUAGGGAUCGAAGAUGAUCAGAU